Molecule: unclassified non-coding RNA, 2104 nt
Filed under: Lingula anatina
Lineage: Eukaryota; Metazoa; Brachiopoda; Lingulata; Lingulida; Lingulidae
Description: potassium voltage-gated channel protein Shal, transcript variant X4
Rfam family: Potassium channel RNA editing signal (bases 1500-1613)
Source: RNAcentral
UCCAUACACAGCCAGAUAUCGAUUAGAAGGCCAGGCAACAUGGCGCAGGCUGGCAAGACUUAUGGAUCGACGGGAGAAAUAGUCAUGUUCGCCAGGUUCCAAACAGACUUCGGACACCGGACACGCACUUAAGGGUUGUCCACUAAAUGCGCUAACAUCUACGUUAAUUCAAAUGUGAUUUAUGGGUCUUAUAAUAAUGCACGCACCGCCUAAACUUACCGUGUCGAAGCUACAAAACGGUGGUGUUAUCCAAUACUAGCUAGGGUCUAUUAGCGAACCGGACCGAGUGUGUGAGUGUGGGUAAUAAUAGUUGGGCUACUAUUUUAAUUCACAGGCUGUGCUGUACACCUUGUAGUGAAGGGAAGCUGUAGCGUUAGCAGGCAGUACCAAGCAGCAUGGCAGCGGUGGCAGCCUGGCUCCCCUUCGCCCGAGCGGCGGCCAUCGGUUGGGUUCCGGUGGCUCAGCAACCCAUGCCCCCUCCCCCCGUGAAUAGGGAGCACAACCGCACCGAUGAUUUGAUGAAGAUCAACGUCAGCGGGCGCAGGUUUGAAACUUGGAGAAAUACUCUUGAGAAGUACCCUGACACUCUGCUUGGAUCAAACGAAAAGGAGUUUUUCUACGAUGAAGACGCCAAGGAAUAUUUCUUUGACCGUGAUCCAGAUAUUUUCAGAAAUGUUCUUAAUUAUUACAGAACUGGGAAGUUGCACUAUCCAAAGCAUGAAUGCAUUACGGCGUAUGAUGAAGAGCUCGCAUUCUUCGGUAUCAUGCCUGACAUUAUUGGCGAUUGCUGUUACGAAGAUUAUAGGGACAGAAAACGCGAGAACAAUGAGCGCUUGCUCGAUGACAAAGAUUCUGAAGAUGGUGAUAAUGUACCCCUGGCCUCUAUGAGGGAAAAAUUAUGGCGUGCUUUUGAAAAUCCUCAAACGGGUACCGCAGCAUUAGUGUUUUAUUAUGUGACAGGGUUCUUUAUUGCUGUGUCAGUAAUGGGAAAUGUGGUGGAAACCGUUCCAUGUGGAAUCGUACCGGGAACAUUUGAUAAUCCUUCUUGUGGGGACCGGUACGAAAAGGUGUUCUUUGUAGUAGACACUGCAUGCGUCAUGAUUUUCUCAGUGGAAUAUCUCCUUCGGCUGUACGCAGCGCCUGAUCGCUGUAAAUACAUGCGUAGCAUAAUGAGUGUAAUCGAUGUGGUGGCCAUUUUACCCUACUACAUCGGGCUGUUUCUUACGGAAGAAAAUGACGACGUUAGUGGUGCAUUCGUGACUCUCAGAGUCUUCAGAGUUUUUCGUAUCUUUAAGUUUUCAAGGCAUUCGCAGGGAUUACGAAUCCUUGGCUACACUUUGAAGAGCUGUGCCAGCGAACUGGGGUUCCUGGUAUUUUCCCUUGCAAUGGCUAUCAUCAUAUUUGCCACAAUAAUGUUUUAUGCAGAAAAGAACGUAGAAAACACAAAAUUUACCAGUAUCCCUGCAGCAUUUUGGUACACCAUCGUUACUAUGACUACUUUAGGUUAUGGUGACAUUACCCCAGAAACCAUUAUGGGAAAAAUAGUGGGUGGUAUUUGCUCCCUUAGCGGUGUGUUGGUGAUCGCGCUUCCAGUCCCUGUCAUAGUGUCAAAUUUUAGCCGCAUUUAUCAUCAAAGUCAAAGAACCGACAAACGCAAAGCGCAGAAGUUAUGGAGAUAUCGUCCCCAAUACAAUAACAGGGAAAUGCGUGGGUGGUAUUUGCUCACUGAGCGGUGUGUUGGUGAUCGCGCUUCCAGUGCCUGUCAUUGUGUCAAAUUUCAGCCGUAUUUAUCACCAAAAUCAAAGAGCAGACAAACGAAAGUCUCAAAAGAAAGCCCGGCUAGCAAGGAUAAGAAUGGCCAAAAACGCAAGUGGUGCGGCUUUUGUGGCGCGAAAGAAAAAGGAAGAAGAGCGAAUACGGCUGCAAGAAUUAGGUCAGGAGCCUGAAGAUAAAGAUGACGCAGACGUAUUUGAGCUUCAGCACCAUCAUUUGCUGAGUUGCUUGGAAAAAACCACAGACCGCGAGUUCACAGAUAUGGACGUGAACUAUAAUGGUCAGCCCACCAAGCUCCUAGGCACCCCUCCUCUCACCCCCACCAUGUCUG